CCUUCAAGGUAGCAGGCUACUAAAUAUUUACUUGGAUGCAUUUUAGAAUUGCUAAAGACAUCUUACUGCUAUAUGAUAUCCAUUCUUCCCUCUUUCAAAUGGAAGUGAUUUUUGCCAAGGGAGAUAGAAUAAAAAAUGGUAUCUGUUUCUGUAUGUAUGUUCAUAAAGAAGUCUAUGGAAUUGAUCAAAGUGAUGACUGCUUUCACCUGAGUGGAAACUGGAAAGACUGGGGGCAAGGUAUAAAGGAGACAAAAUUUCCUCUGUAUAUCUUUUAAUAUUUAUGAUUUUUACAACUGUGGGUAGGUAUUCCAUAUUCAUAAAAUGAAAUGAAAAAUAUUUAAAAUAUGUUUUAGGGCUUAGUGAAUUGCUGAAAAGAGGGUUAAGAGAUGUAAUAUGGAGAUUCUUACAUUUCUGGUUUAACCAAUUUAAUUCAAUAGACCAAGAGAGAAAAUGUAUUGCAAGCAUAUCUGUGGGAAAGAAAACUGUGUUUUAGAUAUGUUAAAUACCAAAGUGUAUCUAAAGCUAUUUACUGGUCUUAAUGUGACCAAUGAUUCAGGUUUGCCUAACACUAUUUGGGUUUGGGUUUUAAAAUCUCUACAUCCUAGGAAACUUCCUCAAGGUGCAAAAUAUCCUGAUUUUCAGCAAUGGGUACAGAAAGCAUUCAUAUGGUAGCCAAAAAAGAGUGAGUUCUAAAAGUAAUACUCUAUUUAGUUCCAAAUAGAUAUGGCAUAGGUGAUUCACUUUUCAGUAGUUACUGUCACUGUUUUUUCCCCAACCACUGAUGUUGUCAACUCUGAUUUGUAUUGCACAGUAAUGACAUAUCCAUUGUUGCAUGACUCUAAGCGAUGUUACUUAUGUUUGCAGCCCAAAUGUAUUAUAACUCAUCCUACACAAAAUUCAGAAAGGAAUUUGGGAUUGGGCAUAGUAGAAAAUGGGAUGCAAAACCACAAAGGGAGUUUAAAUUUUCCAAGUCCUUAUGUAAAUAAGCAAGUACUUCUAAGUCAGUCAAAUGUUUUUUUCUUCUUCUCUCAAAACACCAGUGUUCAGUCAAAAAUAGCCACUGUAUUAGUCUGUGGGCAUAGCACAAGAAUAAACACACAUGCUACAAUCUAUCUGAUUAUUCUAUCAAAAUGAAUGAAGAUGCAUUUCCUGAUUCAGGGAUUGCAACCCUGUAGCAAACAAUGGGAGAAAUUUUGAUAACAGAGGUGUUGGCUUAUUGCAGCAUAGACCUGAUUCAGUCAGAUCUUAUUAACAAUCAUGGUUUUUACAGUAUAUCAAGUGAUGCAUUGAGUCAUGUGAACAAUGACAAAAAAAAAAAUGUUUCUUCUAGUACUUAGGUGAUUUGAUUUGGAAAAUGGAGUUUGAAAUCAUCUUCUUGGUUUUUAUAAGGAGAUGGUAGAACCACAGAAAAGAUAGAGAAUCCUGUAUACCUUAGACAUGCACACUAUGCUGAUAUAUUAUCCAAAUAAAAACUAAACUUUGCCCAUUGUAUUAGUUUCCUAUUGCUGCUGUAAUAAAUUACUCCAAACUUAAUGGAAUAAAACAAUACAAAUUUAUAUCUUACAGUUCUGGAUGUCAGGAUUCUGAAAUGAGUCUCACUGGGCUAAUAUUAAGUCAUCAGAGCUAAAAAAUCAAGGUACUACCAUGGUUUUUACCUUUCCAAAACCUUUAGGGGAGAAUUUGUUUUUUGGACCUUUCCCACUUCUAGAGGCCACCUCCAUUCCUUGCCUAGUGGGCCUCUCAUGUCUUCAAAGCAAUUAAUGUCUGGUUGAAUCUUAACAUCACAUCACUCUGACACUGGCUCUUCUGCCUUCCUCUUACAAAUUUAAAAGAGCCCACUUGGGUAUUCAAGGAUAUUCUUCCUACCUUAAAGAUAGCUGAUUAGAAACCUUAAUUCUAUCUGCUACCUUCAUCCCCUUUUGUCUCUAAAACAACAUAUUCCCAAACUCCAGAGAUUAAGAUGGGAACAUCUUGUGAGACCAUUUUUCUGCCUACCACACUAAGUUAUCUGCACUAUUUGGCAGGCAGUAGAAUAUAAAUCUUGACAAAUCCCAAUCAGCCUAUAAACUUCUGACCAAAGAAAAUGCAAAGAUAUUACCUGCUCUGUAUCCUGCAUACCUUAGACAUGCACAUUAUUGCUAAAGGAGAUGUGUUUUAUAGAUCUGUGAAAUUGAGAUAAUGAAAGCUUUUUUGAUCACUCUUCAGUGUUCUAAAAGUGCAGAAGUAGAUGGCGGUAUUUUGGACUUUAUAGAAAUAGAAAAAUAUGUCCUCCUUAGACACGAGACUACAAAUGACUAUCAUUGUUCCUGGCCAAAAAGGAACAAAGUGUUAACAUAAAUUCAUUUCCAAAACAUGGUGCAAGAAUAAUGAUCUUCUCUAAUUUGGAAAUAUAUCGAGGAUAAUGAAGAAAGGGAAAAAAUAAAUAAUAAAAUAAAAUAGAUAUUUACAGGCUGUUUCUCUAAAUCUGAACUGUGAGUGGCAAGAAGGAAUCUAGAGGAAAAGGAACCGACUGCACUUGAGUUGUUUAAUAUUUAGAUUGAGACAAAAACUCACAGGUUACUUUAAAACACGAAAAAAAUAUCAACAGAAAAGGGAAGCCAAGUUUUAAGAGGACUUUCUCAUCUUUUAACUGAAACUAUUAUUUGGAAUCCAAUUUUGAUUUUAUAAGUUUAAAUUAUCUUUGUACUUUAAAACUACUAUCCUUAAGAAAGAGAGGUUUAACUUAACCAUGCCAUUCAAAGAGCUCUGAACUUUUAAAAAAUGAUGGCUAUCUUCAACGUUUACACGAUGUGAAACAAAAGACCUGGUUGACAAAGAGCUUAUCCACCAAAACAAGUCUGUAGAUAUAAAGUGGAGAGAGAAAUUUGGAAUCUAUUUCUAGCAAGUUUAAACACUUAGGAAGUAAAAUGCUAAGUAAUCAAACGGUUUUGUUGUGAGCUGAUAUGAGCAAUCAGUGUAAAGAGGGCUUGAUAAGAGUAGAGUUUCAAACCAAACUCAGUUUUACAUGUGACUGUAUUUAGUUUUGCUAAUAUUUUUUAAAAGAACAAUGACCUAAAGGCUGCAGGCAGUGCAGAAAAGCAUUAUUGGAAAAGGAAACAGAGUAGAAAAACUGCAUUGCAGGACAGAAACAAACACACAAUUGAUAUUUUGUAUUAAAUGUAGGUAACAUGUGCUUACUUAGUCCUUUUGAUUUUUAAGUUCUCCAUUUUUAAUCUCAAAUUUAUUUAUCUUAAAGACUUACAAUAUUAUGGCCUAUAAAAUUUAAAUAUCCAAAUAAAGUUCAAGAAACCACUAAAAAAACUGCUAUAUCAGAGGAUAGAAUGAAUAAGAUUGUUAUGUUUUCAUACAUACUGUUUGCUUAAUUAGUCCUGUCAAUUACCACUAAAUUGCCAUUUUAACUAUUCUAUUGCAAUUUUGUUUAAUAGCAAUUAUGUAACAGAAAAAUAAAUAUUAGGCAAUAAUAUGCAAUUUUAAAUAAAUGUCUAUUUUUCAUAUGUUAAAGUAAUUACAUACAUGCAUAUAAUUAUAUUAUGCUAUGUUAUAUUGUAUUUUGGGGGGGCAUGGGGACUGGCAUGGUAUGACACAUUGGCUCUCUGAAAAGUUGAUUAUCCUAGAAUUUGAAUCUGAAGCCAAAGAGAUUGAUCUGGGCUGGAAAUAAGUAUUUGGAAGUUAAAAAAAAAAAAUCACUUCCAGCUUUGUACUACUUUUUUGCAUGCUCCAUUACAAUAUUAUCACAAAUAUCUGUAUUAAAUUGACUUUAAAACAUUUUAAAGAAUAUUUUUUAAAAUAUUAAUAUGUUACAGUGGAAAUAUUUUAUAUGCAAAAGAGUAGAAGAAAUAAGAGAAU
RNAcentral lists this long non-coding RNA (3846 nucleotides) under Sus scrofa (pig). Its description in RNAcentral is "lncRNA (ENSSSCG00025052630.1)". The record is from RNAcentral. Lineage: Eukaryota; Metazoa; Chordata; Mammalia; Artiodactyla; Suidae.